Molecule: ribosomal RNA, 455 nt
Filed under: uncultured eukaryote
Lineage: Eukaryota
Description: SSU rRNA
Rfam family: Eukaryotic small subunit ribosomal RNA
Source: RNAcentral
CAUUAAAUCAGUUAUGGUUCCUUAGAUCGUUCAUAUUACAUGGAUAACUGUGGUAAUUCUAGAGCUAAUACAUGCAAAAAGCUCCGACCGUAUGGGAAGAGCGCUUUUAUUAGACCAAAACCAAUGGGGUCGCAAGAUCCCUUUGUAUGGUGACUCUGGAUAACUUUGUGCUGAUCGCAUGGCCUCGAGCCGGCGACGUAUCUUUCAAAUGUCUGCCCUAUCAACUUUCGAUGGUAAGCGAUUUGCCUACCAUGGUUGUAACGGGUAACGGGGAAUCAGGGUUCGAUUCCGGAGAGGGAGCAUGAGAAAUGGCUACCACAUCUACGGAAGGCAGCAGGCGCGCAAAUUACCCACUCCUAGAACGGGGAGGUAGUGACGAAAAAUAACAAUACCGGACUCUAUGAGGCUCGGUAAUUGAAAUGAGUACAGUUUAAAACCCUUAACGAGGAUCUAUU